This 253-nucleotide ribosomal RNA is filed under the name uncultured bacterium. RNAcentral describes it as "partial 16S ribosomal RNA". It matches the Rfam family "Bacterial small subunit ribosomal RNA", at positions 524 to 776 of the family's 1533-position model. The record is from RNAcentral.
UACGUAGGAGGCAAGCGUUGUCCGGAAUUACUGGGCGUAAAGCGUGCGCAGGCGGUGAUGUAAGACAGAUGUGAAAUCCCCGGGCUCAACCUGGGAACUGCAUUUGUGACUGCAUCGCUGGAGUGCGGCAGAGGGGGAUGGAAUUCCGCGUGUAGCAGUGAAAUGCGUAGAUAUGCGGAGGAACACCGAUGGCGAAGGCAAUCCCCUGGGCCUGCACUGACGCUCAUGCACGAAAGCGUGGGGAGCAAACAGG